CCUACGGGCGGCAGCAGUGAGGAAUAUUGGUCAAUGGACGAGAGUCUGAACCAGCCAAGUAGCGUGAAGGAUGACUGCCCUAUGGGUUGUAAACUUCUUUUAUAUGGGAAUAAAAUGUUCCACGUGUGGGAUUUUGUAUGUACCAUAUGAAUAAGGCUCGGCUAACUCCGUGCCAGCAGCCGCGGUAAUACGGAGGAUCCGAGCGUUAUCCGGAUUUAUUGGGUUUAAAGGGAGCGUAGGUGGAUUGUUAAGUCAGUUGUGAAAGUUUGCGGCUCAACCGUAAAAUUGCAGUUGAAACUGGCAGUCUUGAGUACAGUAGAGGUGGGCGGAAUUCGUGGUGUAGCGGUGAAAUGCUUAGAUAUCACGAAGAACUCCGAUUGCGAAGGCAGUUCACUGGACUGCAACUGACACUGAGGCUCGAAAGUGUGGGUAUCAAACAGGAUUAGAUACCCCUGUAGUC
RNAcentral lists this ribosomal RNA (460 nucleotides) under uncultured bacterium. Its description in RNAcentral is "partial 16S ribosomal RNA". It matches the Rfam family "Bacterial small subunit ribosomal RNA", at positions 338 to 795 of the family's 1533-position model. The record is from RNAcentral.